RNAcentral lists this ribosomal RNA (737 nucleotides) under Bacillus sp. 2. RNAcentral describes it as "bacterial SSU rRNA". It matches the Rfam family "Bacterial small subunit ribosomal RNA", at positions 104 to 827 of the family's 1533-position model. The record is from RNAcentral. Lineage: Bacteria; Bacillati; Bacillota; Bacilli; Caryophanales; Bacillaceae.
GGGUGAGUAACACGUGGGUAACCUGCCUGUAAGACUGGGAUAACUCCGGGAAACCGGAGCUAAUACCGGAUAGUUCCUUGAACCGCAUGGUUCAAGGAUGAAAGACGGUUUCGGCUGUCACUUACAGAUGGACCCGCGGCGCAUUAGCUAGUUGGUGGGGUAAUGGCUCACCAAGGCGACGAUGCGUAGCCGACCUGAGAGGGUGAUCGGCCACACUGGGACUGAGACACGGCCCAGACUCCUACGGGAGGCAGCAGUAGGGAAUCUUCCGCAAUGGACGAAAGUCUGACGGAGCAACGCCGCGUGAGUGAUGAAGGUUUUCGGAUCGUAAAGCUCUGUUGUUAGGGAAGAACAAGUGCGAGAGUAACUGCUCGCACCUUGACGGUACCUAACCAGAAAGCCACGGCUAACUACGUGCCAGCAGCCGCGGUAAUACGUAGGUGGCAAGCGUUGUCCGGAAUUAUUGGGCGUAAAGGGCUCGCAGGCGGUUUCUUAAGUCUGAUGUGAAAGCCCCCGGCUCAACCGGGGAGGGUCAUUGGAAACUGGGAAACUUGAGUGCAGAAGAGGAGAGUGGAAUUCCACGUGUAGCGGUGAAAUGCGUAGAGAUGUGGAGGAACACCAGUGGCGAAGGCGACUCUCUGGUCUGUAACUGACGCUGAGGAGCGAAAGCGUGGGGAGCGAACAGGAUUAGAUACCCUGGUAGUCCACGCCGUAAACGAUGAGUGCUAAGUGUUAGG